ACUGCGAAUGGCUCAUUAAAUCAGUUAUCGUUUAUUUGAUAGUACCUUACUACUUGGAUAACCGUGGUAAUUCUAGAGCUAAUACAUGCUAAAAACCCCAACUUCGGGAGGGGUGUAUUUAUUAGAUAAAAAACCAAUGCCCUUCGGGGCUCCUUGGUGAUUCAUAAUAACUUCUCAGAUCGCAUGGCCUUGCGCCGGCGACGGUUCAUUCAAAUUUCUGCCCUAUCAACUUUCGAUGGUAAGGUAUUGGCUUACCAUGGUUUCAACGGGUAACGGGGAAUUAGGGUUCGAUUCCGGAGAGGGAGCCUGAGAAACGGCUACCACAUCCAAGGAAGGCAGCAGGCGCGCAAAUUACCCAAUCCCGACACGGGGAGGUAGUGACAAUAAAUACUGAUACAGGGCUCUUUAGGGUCUUGUAAUUGGAAUGAGUACAAUUUAAACCUCUUAACGAGGAACAAUUGGAGGGCAAGUCUGGUGCCAGCAGCCGCGGUAAUUCCAGCUCCAAUAGCGUAUAUUAAAGUUGUUGCAGUUAAAAAGCUCGUAGUUGAACCUUUGGCCUGGCUGGCGGGUCCGCCUCACCGCGUGCACUCGUCCGGCCGGGCCUUUUCUUCUGGAGAACCGCAUGCCCUUCACUGGGUGUGUUGGGGACCAGGACUUUUACUUUGAAAAAAUUAGAGUGUUCAAAGCAGGCCUUUGCUCGAAUACGUUAGCAUGGAAUAAUAGAAUAGGACGUGCGGUCCUAUUUUGUUGGUUUCUAGGACCGCCGUAAUGAUUAAUAGGGACAGUCGGGGGCAUCAGUAUUCAAUUGUCAGAGGUGAAAUUCUUGGAUUUAUUGAAGACUAACUACUGCGAAAGCAUUUGCCAAGGAUGUUUUCAUUAAUCAGUGAACGAAAGUUAGGGGAUCGAAGACGAUCAGAUACCGUCGUAAUCUUAACCAUAAA
Molecule: ribosomal RNA, 941 nt
Filed under: Periconia sp. YE-2020c
Lineage: Eukaryota; Fungi; Ascomycota; Dothideomycetes; Pleosporales; Periconiaceae
Description: SSU rRNA
Rfam family: Eukaryotic small subunit ribosomal RNA
Source: RNAcentral